GACGAACGCUGGCGGCGUGCUUAACACAUGCAAGUCGAACGGAAAGGCCCUGCUUUUGUGGGGUGCUCGAGUGGCGAACGGGUGAGUAACACGUGAGUAACCUGCCCUUGACUUUGGGAUAACUUCAGGAAACUGGGGCUAAUACCGGAUAGGAGCUCCUGCUGCAUGGUGGGGGUUGGAAAGUUUCGGCGGUUGGGGAUGGACUCGCGGCUUAUCAGCUUGUUGGUGGGGUAGUGGCUUACCAAGGCUUUGACGGGUAGCCGGCCUGAGAGGGUUACCGGCCACAAUGGGACUGAGAUACGGCCCAGACUCCUACGGGAGGCAGCAGGGGGGAAUAUUGCACAAUGGGCGGAAGCCUGAUGCAGCAACGCCGCGUGCGGGAUGACGGCCUUCGGGUUGUAAACCGCUUUCGCCUGUGACGAAGCGUGAGUGACGGUAAUGGGUAAAGAAGCACCGGCUAACUACGUG
Molecule: ribosomal RNA, 468 nt
Filed under: uncultured bacterium
Lineage: Bacteria
Description: partial 16S ribosomal RNA
Rfam family: Bacterial small subunit ribosomal RNA
Source: RNAcentral